AUACGUAGGGGGCGAGCGUUGUCCGGAAUGAUUGGGCGUAAAGGGCGCGUAGGCGGCUUUGCAAGUCAGUAGUGGAAGUCCAUUUUUCAAGGAUGGAAGUGCUACAGAAACUGCGGAGCUUGAGUGCAGGAGAGGUUAUCGGAAUUCCCGGUGUAGCGGUGAAAUGCGUAGAGAUCGGGAGGAACACCAGUGGCGAAGGCGGGUAACUGGACUGCAACUGACGCUGAUGCGCGAAAGUGUGGGGAGCAAACAGGAUUAGAUACCCUGGUAGUCCACACUGUAAACGAUGAAUGCUAGGUGUAGGAGGUAUCGACCCCUUCUGUGCCGCAGUAAACACAGUAAGCAUUCCGCCUGGGGAGUACGGUCGCAAGAUUAAAACUCAAAGGAAUUGACGGGG
RNAcentral lists this ribosomal RNA (397 nucleotides) under uncultured bacterium. RNAcentral's name for it is "partial 16S ribosomal RNA". It matches the Rfam family "Bacterial small subunit ribosomal RNA", at positions 523 to 918 of the family's 1533-position model. The record is from RNAcentral.